AUACCAGCUCUCCGAGUGGUGUGGAUGUUUAUUGGGCCUAAAGCAUCCGUAGCUGGCUAGGUAAGUCCCUUGUUAAAUCCACCGAAUUAAUCGUUGGAUCGCGGGGGAUACUGCUUGGCUAGGGGACGAGAGAGGCAGACGGUAUUUUCGGGGUAGGGGUGAAAUCCUAUAAUCCCGGGAAGACCACCAGUGGCGAAGGCUGUCUGCUAGAACGCGCCCGACGGUGAGGGAUGAAAGCUGGGGGAGC
This 247-nucleotide ribosomal RNA is filed under the name uncultured bacterium. RNAcentral's name for it is "partial 16S ribosomal RNA". It matches the Rfam family "Archaeal small subunit ribosomal RNA", at positions 473 to 720 of the family's 1478-position model. The record is from RNAcentral.